UAUUAUAUAUUUCCAACUUCAAGAUGCUGGUCAUGCUGCUAAUUGUAGGGACUAGAUGUUGCUGAUCAUGUUAUAGGGAUGUACUGCUUUAUCAUGCGGGUAAGAUUCGGUAGACUUAAAGUGUAUAUUUUUGAUGUCAUGCUUGUAACAUUUAUGUUUUAUAUUUUCUCAAUACUAAUAAAUUGUUUAUAAAUUUGAAGGAAAACACGAGAAGGUAAUUAAUUGGUUGAUUUCGAUACUUUAGUUUGAUUUUUUUUUGAAUUUAUGUUUUGUAACCAUUUGGGUGAAAAGGAAAGGCACAAUACCUCUUAAAAAAUUGAUGACAAAAUCAUUGACUUUACUACAUGAAAUCUCUA
Molecule: long non-coding RNA, 356 nt
Filed under: Lathyrus oleraceus (garden pea)
Lineage: Eukaryota; Viridiplantae; Streptophyta; Magnoliopsida; Fabales; Fabaceae
Description: Pisum sativum (pea) long non-coding RNA (PSAT_LNC000923)
Source: RNAcentral